This 162-nucleotide ribosomal RNA is filed under the name x Chitalpa tashkentensis. Its description in RNAcentral is "5.8S ribosomal RNA". It matches the Rfam family "5.8S ribosomal RNA". From Rfam's summary of the family: 5.8S ribosomal RNA (5.8S rRNA) is a component of the large subunit of the eukaryotic ribosome. It is transcribed by RNA polymerase I as part of the 45S precursor that also contains 18S and 28S rRNA. Functionally, it is thought that 5.8S rRNA may be involved in ribosome translocation. The record is from RNAcentral. Lineage: Eukaryota; Viridiplantae; Streptophyta; Magnoliopsida; Lamiales; Bignoniaceae.
UAACGACUCUCGGCAACGGAUAUCACGGCUCUCGCAUCGAUGAAGAACGUAGCGAAAUGCGAUACUUGGUGUGAAUUGCAGAAUCCCGUGAACCAUCGAGUCUUUGAACGCAAGUUGCGCCCGAAGCCGUUAGGCCGAGGGCACGUCUGCCUGGGCGUCUCG